RNAcentral lists this ribosomal RNA (497 nucleotides) under uncultured bacterium. Its description in RNAcentral is "partial 16S ribosomal RNA". It matches the Rfam family "Bacterial small subunit ribosomal RNA", at positions 28 to 507 of the family's 1533-position model. The record is from RNAcentral.
GAUGAACGCUGGCGGCGUGCCUAAUACAUGCAAGUCGAGCGAACGGACGAGAAGCUUGCUUCUCUGAUGUUAGCGGCGGACGGGUGAGUAACACGUGGAUAACCUACCUAUAAGACUAGGAUAACUUCAGGAAACCGGAGCUAAUACCGGAUGAUAUUUUGAACCGCAUGGUUCAAAAGUGAAAGACGGUCUUGCUGUCACUUAUAGAUGGAUCCGCGCUGCAUUAGCUAGUUGGUAAGGUAACGGCUUACCAAGGCAACGAUGCAUAGCCGACCUGAGAGGGUGAUCGGCCACACUGGAACUGAGACACGGUCCAGACUCCUACGGGAGGCAGCAGUAGGGAAUCUUCCGCAAUGGGCGAAAGCCUGACGGAGCAACGCCGCGUGAGUGAUGAAGGUCUUCGGAUCGUAAAACUCUGUUAUUAGGGAAGAACAUAUGUGUAAGUAACUGUGCACAUCUUGACGGUACCUAAUCAGAAAGCCACGGCUAACUACGUG